Molecule: transfer RNA, 77 nt
Filed under: Buchnera aphidicola
Lineage: Bacteria; Pseudomonadati; Pseudomonadota; Gammaproteobacteria; Enterobacterales; Erwiniaceae
Also listed under: 9 other names
Description: tRNA-Met
Rfam family: tRNA
About the family: Transfer RNA (tRNA) molecules are approximately 80 nucleotides in length. Their secondary structure includes four short double-helical elements and three loops (D, anti-codon, and T loops).
Source: RNAcentral
CGCGGGGUGGAGCAGUUCGGUAGCUCGUCGGGCUCAUAACCCGAAGGUCGUUGGUUCAAAUCCAGCCCCCGCAACCA